UGAACGCUGGCGGCAGGCCUAACACAUGCAAGUCGAGCGGAUGAAGGGAGCUUGCUCCUGGAUUCAGCGGCGGACGGGUGAGUAAUGCCUAGGAAUCUGCCUGGUAGUGGGGGAUAACGUCCGGAAACGGGCGCUAAUACCGCAUACGUCCUGAGGGAGAAAGUGGGGGAUCUUCGGACCUCACGCUAUCAGAUGAGCCUAGGUCGGAUUAGCUAGUUGGUGGGGUAAAGGCCUACCAAGGCGACGAUCCGUAACUGGUCUGAGAGGAUGAUCAGUCACACUGGAACUGAGACACGGUCCAGACUCCUACGGGAGGCAGCAGUGGGGAAUAUUGGACAAUGGGCGAAAGCCUGAUCCAGCCAUGCCGCGUGUGUGAAGAAGGUCCUCGGAUUGUAAAGCACUUUAAGUUGGGAGGAAGGGCAGUAAGUUAAUACCUUGCUGUUUUGACGUUACCAACAGAAUAAGCACCGGCUAACUUCGUG
RNAcentral lists this ribosomal RNA (482 nucleotides) under uncultured bacterium. Its description in RNAcentral is "partial 16S ribosomal RNA". It matches the Rfam family "Bacterial small subunit ribosomal RNA", at positions 30 to 507 of the family's 1533-position model. The record is from RNAcentral.